GCAAGUCGAGCGAGAACCCGGUGCUUGCACCGGCAGACAGCGGCGAACGGGUGAGUAACACGUAAAUAAUCUGCCCUUUAGUUGGGGACAACCAUUCUAACGAAUGGCUAAUACCGAAUAUUGUUUUUAUAUCGCAUGAUAAAUUAACGAAAGGCCUUCGGGUCGCUAGAGGAUGAAUUUGCGUCCCAUUAGUUAGUUGGCGGGGUAACGGCCCACCAAGACAUCGAUGGGUAGCCGGCCUGAGAGGGUGAUC
RNAcentral lists this ribosomal RNA (253 nucleotides) under uncultured bacterium. Its description in RNAcentral is "partial 16S ribosomal RNA". It matches the Rfam family "Bacterial small subunit ribosomal RNA", at positions 57 to 305 of the family's 1533-position model. The record is from RNAcentral.